CUGAUCAGCCAUGCCGCGUGAGUGAUGAAGGUCUUCAUGGAUUGGUUAAAGCUUCUUUCUCCGGGGAAAAAAAUGACUUUUUCCGGAGAAUGUUCCCCGGCUAACUUCAUGCCACCCCCCCCGGUUCUACGAAAGGGGCUACCGUUGUUCGGAAUUACUGGGCGUUAUCCGCAUUUACGGGGAUUUUUGGGUCCGGGGGGAAAUCCCUAAGUUCAACUCUGGAUCUGCCUUUUAUACUGGGAAUCUGGAGUGUGUACUAUGUAUCUGGAAUUUCGAGUGUGUAGGUGAAAUUCGUAAAGUUUCGGAGGAACGCCAAUGGCUAACGCGGAUUACUGGUUGCUUACGGACGCUGAUGUGCGAAAGCGUGGGGAGAAGACCGGAUUAGAUACCCUGGUACUCCACUCCAUACCCUGUGAAUGUUAGCCGUCGGGCAUUAUACUGUUCGGUGGCGCAUCUAACGCAUUAAACUUUCCGCCUGGGGAGUACGGUCGCCUGAUUAAAACUCCA
RNAcentral lists this ribosomal RNA (507 nucleotides) under uncultured Alphaproteobacteria bacterium. RNAcentral's name for it is "partial 16S ribosomal RNA". It matches the Rfam family "Bacterial small subunit ribosomal RNA", at positions 383 to 904 of the family's 1533-position model. Lineage: Bacteria; Pseudomonadati; Pseudomonadota; Alphaproteobacteria. The record is from RNAcentral.